RNAcentral lists this long non-coding RNA (323 nucleotides) under Elaeis guineensis (African oil palm). RNAcentral's name for it is "long non-coding RNA (EGUI_LNC060317)". Lineage: Eukaryota; Viridiplantae; Streptophyta; Magnoliopsida; Arecales; Arecaceae. The record is from RNAcentral.
GUCGAUUGCUGACUUAAGCAUCAAAGGAUCUCUAUCAAAGUCAAUUUUGUAGGACCUGGUGUGGUGCUCCUAAGGCUUAAGGGACCAAAGAAAUGGUCAAGAUCCAAAGCCCAUGAGGCAUUCGUGGGAGUUCUAGGGCUAGUUUGGGCCCUAAGGUGAAAGGCUGUCAGCCUUCACAGUUUUGAGAUCUAGGAGAUUUGGAUCUUGAGGAGCUAACUUGAAUUGGGCUAGACUUGAGUCCAAGAGAGGUGAGAUUAGGUCAAGUCAUGGGUGUACAUGGGCUUGGGUGAAUACAAUCUCACAUUGGGUUAGCCAUGGGAGUU